RNAcentral lists this long non-coding RNA (682 nucleotides) under Homo sapiens (human). RNAcentral describes it as "HSALNT0243986". The record is from RNAcentral. Lineage: Eukaryota; Metazoa; Chordata; Mammalia; Primates; Hominidae.
GUUCAUCUUGAGCAAUGCAUGUGCAAAAUAUCUUUUCUGGAUGCAUCAAGUGAAUUUAAUUUAGGAUAAAAAAAUUGAGAGGAACCAGGUUUCUAUUAUAGGACUGUGGUUUGUGGUGGUAGCUGGUGGUCCCCACUAGGUCGAAAUAGUUUCCGUACAACCCCUAGAUGAGGAAGAUGCAGGAAGCCUUCUAGGAAGUACCAACUCUUCUUUUUCUCCUUCUUUCCCUGAUCAAACACCCAGGGCCACGAGGUGUGGCCAGCUUCCGGAGGUCCAACAUAGCUUCUUUGUGGAGCAUGUGGAAGUGCAGAGAUAAAGGGAGUAUGUCUUCAUGCUGUAUUGCCUAAAAGGACCUAAGAAGAAACAUUCAUGCAACUGAAGGUUUUUCUGUCUGUAUGAUUUUUUUAGAAUUGCAGAUGUAAUAUACACGUAUCAUAAUUUCAAACAAGACAAUUAGAUGAAAUGUAAGCAAGGGUAAAGGAUGGGCAGUGACUCUGGGAGUCAGAUGAACCCGACACCAUUUCUGUCCAGGUCAGGGAGAUGUCUCUUUGUGCACGUGUGGGAGGUGCUGUACCUGAGUUGUUCAAAGUGCUGGGGGACAGUGGAUGAACUCUGAGACCGAGAUCUGGGUGUGCGCACUACCAUAGACAUUUAAACCACACGCUGCCUCUUCACACUGUGC